UACGGAGGGGCUAGCGUUGUCCGGAAUCAUUGGGCGUAAAGAGCUCGUAGGUGGCCUGUCGCGUCGGCUGUGAAACUCGGGCUCAACUCCGAGCUUGCAGUCGAUACGGGCAGGCUAGAGUUCGGCAGGGGAGACUGGAAUUCCUGGUGUAGCGGUGAAAUGCGCAGAUAUCAGGAGGAACACCGGUGGCGAAGGCGGGUCUCUGGGCCGAUACUGACGCUGAGGUGCGAAAGCGUGGGGAGCAAACAGG
This 250-nucleotide ribosomal RNA is filed under the name uncultured bacterium. RNAcentral describes it as "partial 16S ribosomal RNA". It matches the Rfam family "Bacterial small subunit ribosomal RNA", at positions 524 to 776 of the family's 1533-position model. The record is from RNAcentral.